UAAUAUACUGAUGAUGCUCUAUAUGCAUGGG
This 31-nucleotide non-coding RNA is filed under the name Mus musculus (house mouse). Lineage: Eukaryota; Metazoa; Chordata; Mammalia; Rodentia; Muridae. The record is from RNAcentral.